AACGAACGCUGGCGGCAGGCCUAACACAUGCAAGUCGAACGAGAAGCUAUCCUUCGGGGUAGCGGAAAGUGGCAGACGGGUGAGUAACGCGUGGGAACGUGCCCUUCUCUGCGGAAUAGCCACUGGAAACGGUGAGUAAUACCGCAUACGCCCUUCGGGGGAAAGAUUUAUCGGAGAAGGAUCGGCCCGCGUUAGAUUAGAUAGUUGGUGGGGUAACGGCCUACCAAGUCUACGAUCUAUAGCUGGUUUUUAGAGGAUGAUCAGCAACACUGGGACUGAGACACGGCCCAGACUCCUACGGGAGGCAGCAGUGGGGAAUCUUAGACAAUGGGCGCAAGCCUGAUCUAGCCAUGCCGCGUGUGUGAUGAAGGUCUUAGGAUCGUAAAGCACUUUCGCCAGGGAUGAUAAUGACAGUACCUGGUAAAGAAACCCCGGCUAACUCCGUG
RNAcentral lists this ribosomal RNA (446 nucleotides) under uncultured bacterium. Its description in RNAcentral is "bacterial SSU rRNA". It matches the Rfam family "Bacterial small subunit ribosomal RNA", at positions 29 to 507 of the family's 1533-position model. The record is from RNAcentral.